Molecule: ribosomal RNA, 301 nt
Filed under: uncultured bacterium
Lineage: Bacteria
Description: partial 16S ribosomal RNA
Rfam family: Bacterial small subunit ribosomal RNA
Source: RNAcentral
CAGUCGCCACGGUAAUACAGAGGAUGCAAGCGUUAUCCGGAAUGAUUGGGCGUAAAGGGCUCGCAGGCGGUUUCUUAAGUCUGAUGUGAAAGCCCCCGGCUCAACCGGGGAGGGUCAUUGGAAACUGGGAAACUUGAGUGCAGAAGAGGAGAGUGGAAUUCCACGUGUAGCGGUGAAAUGCGUAGAGAUGUGGAGGAACACCAGUGGCGAAGGCGACUCUCUGGUCUGUAACUGACGCUGAGGAGCGAAAGCGUGGGGAGCGAACAGGAUUAGAUACCCCCGUAGUCCCUGUCUCUUAUAC